UACAGAGGUCCCAAGCGUUGUUCGGAAUCACUGGGCGUAAAGCGCACGUAGGCGGAUAUGUCAGUCAGGGGUGAAAUCCCGGGGCUCAACCUCGGAACUGCCCUUGAUACAGCAUAUCUUGAGUCCGAUAGAGGUGGGUGGAAUUCCUAGUGUAGAGGUGAAAUUCGUAGAUAUUAGGAAGAACACCGGUGGCGAAGGCGGCCCACUGGAUCGGUACUGACGCUGAGGUGCGAAAGCGUGGGGAGCAAACAGG
This 253-nucleotide ribosomal RNA is filed under the name uncultured bacterium. Its description in RNAcentral is "partial 16S ribosomal RNA". It matches the Rfam family "Bacterial small subunit ribosomal RNA", at positions 524 to 776 of the family's 1533-position model. The record is from RNAcentral.